This is a long non-coding RNA of Balaenoptera acutorostrata (minke whale), 553 nucleotides long. RefSeq lists it as uncharacterized. The transcript has 6 exons. Lineage: Eukaryota; Metazoa; Chordata; Mammalia; Artiodactyla; Balaenopteridae. The record is from RefSeq and is a predicted model, not a curated record.
CCGCCAACCCCAGUCCUCUCCCUGUGAUCCGACCGAAGCCCGAACCUCAGCUCCCAGCCCCCGCCCGCCCCAGCGGCUGAGCAGACAAGCCUCUCGGGCUGCUUCCAUGGAUCCCUGAUUGCUGCUUGAGGAGAAUUGCCCUGUGGAUUUGACUGACCAACGAUUGCGAUAUAAGCAGUUUCAGGUGACUGGCCCAGCAGGAGUGAGAAGAAUUUAUCUUCAGUAUAAACUUCAUUAUUCUACAGUGUCUCUUCAUUUGCCUGGGAGGUGAGAAUAUUGAGACUCAAGGAGAUUAAACAAUGGAGUACUUUCACUGCUCAAAUGUUACAGGAAACAGAAUUCUGCCAACAACCUGAACAAGCAAGAAAAUGGAUUCUCCCCUGGAGCAUCCGGAAGGGAAUGCAGCUUGCCGACAGCACUUUGAUUUAAGCACAAUGAGACCCCAUAACAGAUUUCUGACCUCCAGAGCUGUAAGAUGCUUCAACUGUUACAGGCCAUGAUGAUUUAAAUAAGAGGAAAAAAAAAUUUGCGAAAGGAAAAGAAAACUUUUAUU